UUUGACACCACAGCCCAAAGAAACACAGCAGCUAAAGGUCAACAUGUCCAUGGAGAUGAGGAAGUGAAAACUGGAUGCAACAGGUUUGGACUUCUACCGCCAAAGACGAUCCCACAGACCUGGCAGCGGUUGAUCUGAGGUACAUGUUGGUACGAGGACUAACUGUAAAGCUUUUUUCUUUCUGGAAAAAAACAUCUUUGACCUGCCGUCCCUGUUCAGCUGUUUGUUGUGGAGACCUUUGGAAGAACGUCAGAUUUUCCUCCUGCUGAUGUUUCUCAAGUGACCACAUGGGUGGAGCCAAGGCGGAGUCUGGGUGGAGUCGGGGUGGAGAGUAGGCGGGGAGGUGGGUGGCGGCCUCCCCCCUCUACUCCCCCACCGCCCACCACACCUUCCCCCGCCCGACGAGUUCUUCGAGUCUCCACGAGUUCUUCGAGUCUCCACGGGUUUUCCCGAGUUUCUGGAGUUUCCACCAGGUCGGAGGCAGAACAAGUUGUCAUGAAG
Amphiprion ocellaris (clown anemonefish) is the source of this 501-nucleotide long non-coding RNA. Lineage: Eukaryota; Metazoa; Chordata; Actinopteri; Pomacentridae. The record is from Ensembl.